CCUACGGGAGGCUGCAGUGAGGAAUAUUGGUCAAUGGACGAGAGUCUGAACCAGCCAAGUCGCGUGAAGGAUGACUGCCCUAUGGGUUGUAAACUUCUUUUAUAUGGGAAUAAAAUGUUCCACGUGUGGGAUUUUGUAUGUACCAUAUGAAUAAGGAUCGGCUAACUCCGUGCCAGCAGCCGCGGUAAUACGGAGGGUCCGAGCGUUAUCCGGAUUUAUUGGGUUUAAAGGGAGCGUAGGUGGUUUGUUAAGUCAGUUGUGAAAGUUUGCGGCUCAACCGUAAAAUUGCAGUUGAAACUGGCAGUCUUGAGUACAGUAGAGGUGGGCGGAAUUCGUGGUGUAGCGGUGAAAUGCUUAGAUAUCACGAAGAACUCCGAUUGCGAAGGCAGUUCACUGGACUGCAACUGACACUGAGGCUCGAAAGUGUGGGUAUCAAACAGGAUUAGAUACCCCUGUAGUC
This 460-nucleotide ribosomal RNA is filed under the name uncultured bacterium. RNAcentral's name for it is "partial 16S ribosomal RNA". It matches the Rfam family "Bacterial small subunit ribosomal RNA", at positions 338 to 795 of the family's 1533-position model. The record is from RNAcentral.